RNAcentral lists this ribosomal RNA (464 nucleotides) under uncultured bacterium. Its description in RNAcentral is "partial 16S ribosomal RNA". It matches the Rfam family "Bacterial small subunit ribosomal RNA", at positions 28 to 507 of the family's 1533-position model. The record is from RNAcentral.
GACGAACGCUGGCGGCGUGCUUAACACAUGCAAGUCGAACGGUAAGGCCCUAGCUUGCUGGGGUUCACGAGUGGCGAACGGGUGAGUAACACGUGGGUAACCUGCCCUACACUUUGGGAUAAGCUAAGGAAACUGGGGCUAAUACCGGAUAGGACCCCACCGUGGGGGGAAGGCGGAGGAUCUUGCGGGGUGGGGUGGGUGGACGGGCGAUUAGCUUGUUGGUGGGUUAGUGGCCUACCAACCCAGCGACGGGUCGCCGGCCUGCGAGGGUGGACGGCCACCUUGCGCCUGAGAGACGGCCCAGACUCCUACGGGAGGCAGCAGUGGGGAAUAUUGCACAAUGGGCGGAAGCCUGAUGCAGCGACGCCGCGUGGGGGAUGACGGCCUUCGGGUUGUAAACUCCUUUCGCCAUAGACGAAGCUUUUCUGACGGUAGAUGGAGAAGAAGCACCGGCUAACUACGUG